UACAGAGGGUGCAAGCGUUAUUCGGAAUUAUUGGGCGUAAAGGGCGCGUAGGCGGCGAUUCAAGUGACGGGUGAAAUCCCUCGGCUUAACCGAGGAACUGCCUGUCAGACUGGGUUGCUUGAGACCGGGAGAGGCGAGUGGAAUUCCCAGUGUAGCGGUGAAAUGCGUAGAUAUUGGGAGGAACACCAGUGGCGAAGGCGGCUCGCUGGACCGGAACUGACGCUGAGGCGCGAAAGCGUGGGGAGCAAACAGG
RNAcentral lists this ribosomal RNA (253 nucleotides) under uncultured bacterium. RNAcentral's name for it is "partial 16S ribosomal RNA". It matches the Rfam family "Bacterial small subunit ribosomal RNA", at positions 524 to 776 of the family's 1533-position model. The record is from RNAcentral.